GCACACACUCACACACACGCACACACAUAUAUAAUACACACACACACAUAUAAUUGCCCUGUUUGUUGCAAGUAUUUCCCAGUCUCCUUUGUCCUCUAAUUUUAUGGCAGUUUGACAUAAAUAAAAGUAUGUUUUACAAUGACUAUGUCCGUUGAUCUUUUCCUUUGUAAUUUUACUCUCCUGUUAUUUUUUCCUUUAAAAGUCAUUUCUCAGUCUAAGCUCAGUUAAAUACCUACCUGUAUUUUCUUUUAAUUUUUAGGAUUGCUCGAUUGCUUAAUAUUUUACUCUGAUCCAGACAUUGCUAACUUUGAGUCUUUAGUUGUGCUUCAGAGAAUUGGGGGUCCCUCAGAACUCCGUAUGUAACUGUGCAGGUACUAUACACAGCACUUCCUGUGUAAGAGAACACAUCAAAGAGGUCUGUCACACACCUCUCUCCCCUUCUGCAUUCCCAGCACCUGGCCAGGAAUUACCUUUGCAAUCCAUCCGGCCUUUAUUUGCAAUGAGGCUGUAUGGAGAGGCUCUAAUUUUUUUUCCCCUUUUCCCUAAAUAGUUGAAGGAGUAUGGUGUACCAGACCAUUCAGUGAGUAAUUAUGUCCUAUGGUCUGUGAUGCCUUGGAGAAUUUCAUUUCUUUUCAUUUUACUAAUUUAUUAUUUUUUUUAAUCUCUUCAGAGAAAGUUAGAGAAAUUCAAGAAAAACUUGAUGCUUUUAUUGAAGCUCUGCAUCAGGAGAAAUAGUGUUACUAGGUUUAUUUUUUACAGACACCUACUCAUAAUAUGAUCGCCUCUACAUACACAAGAAGAAAGAAUACUUCAGAGUCUCUUGUCCUGCCUCUUUUUCUUCUCCUAUUCCACCUUUCUAAACAUACAAUAAAGUCAUGGAAUAAAAUGAAUUUGUACGUGUUGUAGGCCCUUUAACCAUCAGCUGCCUUUUGACUGGAAGAACGGUGGAAAUGGCAUUAACACCCUGUUUCAUUGUCUUGAAGUGACACAUUGGGAUAACACCGCUAGUAUGCCGUCAGCCGCAGCCCUGGAAGAUAAGAAACCUGCUCUCUGUUGUCUCAUUUGUGGUUUCAGUAGUUUAAUUCAUUCACUGAUAUUAUUCAGUGUCGGUUUCUUUUCUAGAAGUAUAAUGCCAAGUGUUUUGAACUAAGACUUAUAGCAAUUUUUAAAAACUUAUCAACUGUAUAUAAAAUGAUAGCCCACUAAGUCAUCCUCUUUAUCAUGUUCUGUAUCCAGUAACUAUUCAUUGUGAUCGUUUAGUUUAUGUUUGCCAUAUGAAAUAAAACAGAAAACUCCUUCAAAUGGGUUAAUUUGGAUUAUAACAGUCGAGUGCAAUUCAGUGGAAGAAAUUUCAACCCUUCAUUGACAGCUUAGAAAUCCGCCUUGGAAGCCAAGUGAGCAGUACUUCACCUGCCUGCCCGAGCUGCCACGCCAUCCUCUGUGCACUCGUCAAAAUCAGUACACUUGGGGUGCUGUACAGUGAUGGUAGGCUUCCUGUUGACACUGGGUAUUUUUUCCUGUUGGCAAAGCCACUGUAUUAUGACACGGGAUGGAAAAAAUUAGGAAGUCAGUUGACCGACUUCAUUUAAAAUAUUAAGUAUUUCAACGAGGAACCAAGAAAAGGCUUUCUUCUGUUAAAAAACUCUUUCAAAUAGAAGUUAUUCCAGCAGUUGAAAUAAUAACCAACCCCCUCUUAGCUAAAUAUUUAAAAUUUAGAGUUUGAUCCAUUGCAGUUAGUAACCCACUUAUAUUUUCAUGUUUUAUAUAAACAUUUUUUACCGGCUGAAAGACUUAAAAACAAAAAGUAUAACAUUUUUUACUUAAAAUAUCUUGUUCAUUUACUACUUUUUCAUUAAGGCUUUAUUAUACUAAUAAAAAUGCCCAUUGUGUGACCAUUUUUAAUUUACUCUUUACUGAAGACAUUAUCUUGGGCUUUUUGUUUUAUUUUGGUUAACAAAUUCCUUGCCAACACCCAAUUUUUUUUUGAUCAGUACAUUCUUCAUUGUGAUCCCUCAAAAUCUGACAUCUAAUAUGUGAGGUUGGAGAGUACCACAGAAUAUUUCAGAAGCCAGGAAGCCAGCAGGUGUUUGUCUUAUACUGCUUGGUAAGGAGCGGAGAUCAGUUUUAAGCGGCUAGUAGCGUAUGUGCUGUUAUCUGGUAGACGGGCAGUCUAGAACCUUGAGUUUCUUUUAGGGCUGGGGGCAGGUGAGCAGAGAGGGGGCAGGUGAGCAGAGAGGGGGGAGAGUGCGCAGAGGGAAUAGAGCUUCGUAGUGCUCCAUACGGAGUCUGGAGAGACCCUCAGAUUCCGCCCUCAGCCAGUGCGGGUGGGUAGUUACAAACCCCCUCACUGAGCAGACAUCCUGUAAUGUUAAUGAAUAUUUUUGCAAAGAAAGAACAGGAAGUAGAACCUUACUUAUUUUUAUGAACUAUAGAUGAAAAAAAAAAAUACCAUGAUCUGUAUUUCGACAGAUUUCUCCCAAGCAAAAGGCAGAUAUUUAGUCAGUACUUUUAUCUCUUCCUUUUGUAUAAAUCUUAAGUUUCUUUGAGAUCAGUAUUGUGACAUACAAAUAGAUGAUGAAAGUGAAUAUUAUUAAAAGUCCCACGUCAGAGUUCUGACAUCCUCCCCAUUCGCUUCUUUUAUGGAUUUUGUUUCUCUUUUAGCCGAUCUUAUCCUAAGCAUGCUUUUAUUUUCUUAAAAGGUAGAUCUUUAUAAAAUACAGAUGUAACUGAAAGAGAAAAAUAAAAUUCAGAGUCUCAACAGUAAACUCUGUUGUAUCUGUAGUUCAGAAAUUAGAAAUGAUUCAAAUUUAAACUAAAAAAAAAAAACCUUACAAUAUUCAAUAUACAUAUAGGAGUUAAAUUUUAAUUAGACAAAGAAUCUUUGUUUCUCAUGUCAGAAUUUGCAAAGAAUGGAGUGAACAAAGCUUUAUAUGGGAUUCCAAAUAAUUGUAAAUAGAUUGUAUCCAAAAUUACUUUGAUCGGGAUAUCCACUUUUAAAAAACAGUGAACACGGGCAACGCACAGUAGGACAGAAGUGGUUUUCACUGUUUCGCAGUUGACCCAACCUCACCGUACUUACAGGUGGGGCGGUCAGACUUUCUAGUGUUAAUUUUCUUCUCUCUCCUUUGUGUCACCCUCAUUAAUUUUCUUCUCUCUCCUUUGUGUCACCCUCAUUUUCCAGGCUUCAUUCUGAGGGAUUCCUUCCCACACACAGAUUAUUUAGCCCCUACAUGUAAAUAAAUGCUGUACAAAUGAGUAGGAAACAUUGCAGAGACGGGUGCAUCCUAACCUUGUAAUUUGGGAAUUUUAUAUAUAUGAGAUUCACAGUGUAGGUUUAAAAGAGAAGUUCGUUGACUACUUAAAAUUUUUUUAAUUUAUUUAUUUUAGACGUGUUUGAGAAAAAGAAGUAUGAUAUUUUCACUUUCCAAUACAGGGGAUCAAAGUAAUGGUAUUUAUCUGUGCUCUACGCUGGUGUGCCUGCCAGUUCUAGGUACUUGAGCAGUAUGGAAAUGUGCUUACUACGCUUACCUCCGAAUGAUCAUGGCUAUGUGUUGUUUAAAUAUUUAAAACUUACUUGGUUUUCACGUGUGCACUAUGAAUGAACUUUGUAUUAUUUUUUAAAGAACCUUCACAUGACAUGUAGACAUUAUUGCAACUUAUAUUUUGCCUGUGCUUAACCUGAAGUCAUUUGUGUAGGUGGAUAAUUAAAAGAUAUUUAAAUCUCA
Molecule: long non-coding RNA, 3725 nt
Organism: Tupaia belangeri chinensis (Chinese tree shrew)
Lineage: Eukaryota; Metazoa; Chordata; Mammalia; Scandentia; Tupaiidae
Exons: 2
Source: RefSeq, a predicted model, not a curated record